RNAcentral lists this long non-coding RNA (826 nucleotides) under Equus caballus (horse). Its description in RNAcentral is "lncRNA (ENSECAG00000045301.1)". Lineage: Eukaryota; Metazoa; Chordata; Mammalia; Perissodactyla; Equidae. The record is from RNAcentral.
GUUCUCUGGCAGCAGGAGUGAGCCCAGCUCAAGUGCACAACAGGCUGGAAAUGCCAGGAGCUAAUGCCCUAGAAGAGACCCUUAAUCAAUGAGGGCUGGGGUUGGAGGAUAAAUACCCCAGCUCCCACGCCCCUCGGUGCCUGGAAGGAAGUUGAGACACCUCGAUGCAAUAUUUAGAAUAGUUCCUCAUGGCCUUCCCCAGCGUCUGUGCCUUUCUGUUCUAUCUCAGCCGUGGCAUAGGAGACAUAGCACUAACUAAGUGCAUACAGCAAAGCAAAGGAUGGAGCCCAAAUUGAAUCAAGGUCUCCCAUAGCUUAUCAAUUUACCCAGUAACAUCGUCUUUCUCUGUAAAGGUUACUCUUUUAUGCACAUAAAUGAGAAUUAGAACAUCUCUGCCCUGCUCCUUUUGGCAGGAUAGUUCUGCAACGGCGCAGGCUGCCGUCCAUUUCACUGGAACAUUUGCCAUAAAUUUGCUUUUAAAGACAUUCUCUUACAAUACCAUGUAUGGCCCUUGCAUUAAAAAUGAGAAAAAUAUGGAAACAUGCAUUAAAAUAUUCGGAAAUAAAUGGCUUCUUUAUUACAUAAAAGCUCUCAUGUGUCUCAAAGGUACUGAGAAUAGAAUAAUUUAUCGUAAAUGAGAUUAUUAUUGCUGGGAAAAGGUCUAUUUUAAUGCCAGUUUUCUUGGAGAUUAAACCAAAUCCGAACAGUCCACUGGGGGUGUUCAUAAAUGUAUAAGUCAAAUACUUAAAAGCUUUAAUUGGAAAAUAUAUGCUGAUGCAGCUGUCCUAGGGAAGACAGAAGACAUUCUGUUUCUUCUUAUCUCCAG